RNAcentral lists this ribosomal RNA (329 nucleotides) under uncultured soil bacterium. RNAcentral describes it as "bacterial SSU rRNA". It matches the Rfam family "Bacterial small subunit ribosomal RNA", at positions 26 to 379 of the family's 1533-position model. The record is from RNAcentral.
AGAGCGAACGCUGGCGGCAGGCCUAACACAUGCAAGUCGAACGGACCCUUCGGGGUUAGUGGCGGACGGGUGAGUAACACGUGGGAACGUGCCUUUAGGUUCGGAAUAGCUCCUGGAAACGGGUGGCAAUGCCGAAUGUGCCCUUCGGGGGAAAGAUUUAUCGCCUUUAGAGCGGCCCGCGUCUGAUUAGCUUGUUGGUGAGGUAAUGGCUCACCAAGGCUACGAUCAGUAGCUGGUCUGAGAGGAUGACCAGCCACAUUGGGACUGAGACACGGCCCAAACUCCUACGGGAGGCGGCGAGGUGGGGAAUAGUUAGGACAAGUGGGACG